UACGAACUGUGCAAACGUUAUUCGGAUUCACUGGGCUUAAAGGGUGCGUAGGCGGCCAUGUAAGUAGGGUGUGAAAUCCCCCGGCUUAACCGGGGAACUGCGCCCUAAACUGUAUGGCUGGAGUGAGAUAGGGGUGUGUGGAACUUCCGGUGGAGCGGUGAAAUGUGUUGAUAUCGGAAGGAACGCCGGUGGCGAAAGCGACACACUGGGUCUCAACUGACGCUGAGGCACGAAAGCCAGGGGAGCGAACGGG
This 253-nucleotide ribosomal RNA is filed under the name uncultured bacterium. RNAcentral describes it as "partial 16S ribosomal RNA". It matches the Rfam family "Bacterial small subunit ribosomal RNA", at positions 524 to 776 of the family's 1533-position model. The record is from RNAcentral.